This 1536-nucleotide long non-coding RNA is filed under the name Gossypium raimondii (Peruvian cotton). Its description in RNAcentral is "long non-coding RNA (GRAI_LNC006656)". Lineage: Eukaryota; Viridiplantae; Streptophyta; Magnoliopsida; Malvales; Malvaceae. The record is from RNAcentral.
GAGCCUCGAGUCAAGCUGAGAUAUUUUUUAAUUUCUUUUUCUUUUUCUUUUCAAAGGUCAACUUAUAAUCUGAAAAAUGAGUUGAACUUCGGAUCACACACCAAUCUUUUUUUCAAUUUCAGGCUUUCAAAAAAUAUAAAAAAUUAGACAAUCGAGCAAAAUUCAGUGCUUUUAAGUCUUUGCUCUAUCCCUGUUUCAUAGCAAUGAGCAAAGAGGGGCAGCUGUAAUCACUGAAUUUUGCCCGGUUUGAAUUUUGGGUCGGGUCGGUCUCGUAUGGGCCAAAUGAUCGGGCCCAUUAGGAUUUAAUUUUAGAAUUGUUUUAGCCCAUUUUUAAUGUUUGCUUUAAAUAUUAAUAAAAUAGUCAUAAUAAAAUUUUGAAAAAAAUAAAAAAUACAAAAAAAUAAAAAUUACGUUUUGGCCCCCAAACUUUUCAAAAAUUAUGUUUUACCCCCUAACUUUUUCUAAAUUUACAUCUUGACCCCUAAUAUUUCGUAAAUUACAGUCGGGCCCCUAAACUUUCCAGAAAUUACAUUUUAGCCCCAUAUUUUCUGAAAAUUACGUUUUUGCCCCAAAAACUUUGCACACUCUACAAUUCAGUCCUUCUGGGCAUGACAAGACUGCCCCCAACCAGCAUCCGGGCGUGCACCGCACCCUACGCCUGACACCGCCAAUCAGCCAUGCUCCCCACCUCCAUGCCACCUGAAAACAAGAAGGAAAACGACAGAAAAUUGAAGCAUUUAAAAGAAAAUUGAAGGAAAGGGAAGGGGGGAUUUUUUUUCGGCAACCAAAGAAACAAAAAAAAGCAGAGAAAAAAAUAAAAAUAGCAGCAAGCAAAGCCUCCACCAUUGCCUUGGUGGAAACACCACCACCGCAACCACCAUCACUACAACCACCAAAGCCACCACCUAAAAAACCCAAUCAAGAAGCAAUAUGAAUUUGAGAAAACCCAAGAAAAAGCUUCCAAAAAUCAGCAGCCAAGAACCUUUUAAAAAAAAAAUCAUUUACCUUGGAAUCGCCGGUCACCGAGUGUGGAGAGGAGCCGAGGGCGGAGAAGGUCGGCGCAAGUGGCGGCGGCGGUUAUGGGUCUUGGAGAAUAAGAGAAGAAGAAGAAAGGAAGGAGGGAAGAAGAAAGGAGAGAAAAAAAUAGAAAAAGAAAGAAAAGAAAAUAAAAUAAAAAGAUAAAUAAAAAUAAAUCAGUCGGGUCAAUCCGACCCGACCCGUCCGACCCGCGACCCGUCAACAGGCCAAAUCAGCAGCAGCAAGAUACCCAGCAAGCCCAGCAAAUUAGGCCCAAAAAGGGUAGCCCAAGAGAAAAAAAACAAGCAGCAAAAAAAAAAACAAAGGAAAGCAGAAAAAAUAAAGGAGGAGCAGGCCCAAGCUGUUCCAAGCCCAGCGCCAGCAGCGGGCCAAGCGCCCAAGCCCGGCGCACCAGCAUUCGGCCCAGCACCCAGGCCCAACAUCCAGCAGAAAAAAAAAGGGAAAGGGAAGAAAAAAGAAAAGGGAAAGGGCCCACAACUUUGGGCUUUUUGGUAAUUU